UCCCUGGCAGUCUAGUGGUUGAGACUUUGUGCUUGCAAUGCAGGGGCCUUGGGUUCAAUCCCUGGUUGGGGAA
Molecule: transfer RNA, 73 nt
Filed under: Bos taurus (domestic cattle)
Lineage: Eukaryota; Metazoa; Chordata; Mammalia; Artiodactyla; Bovidae
Also listed under: 5 other names
Rfam family: tRNA
About the family: Transfer RNA (tRNA) molecules are approximately 80 nucleotides in length.
Source: Rfam by way of RNAcentral